Long non-coding RNA from Megalobrama amblycephala (Wuchang bream), 1727 nucleotides. RefSeq lists it as uncharacterized. The transcript is spliced from 4 exons. The record is from RefSeq and is a predicted model, not a curated record. Lineage: Eukaryota; Metazoa; Chordata; Actinopteri; Cypriniformes; Xenocyprididae.
AACACGGAAGUUACAAGUGGACUGUGAAAUACGGAAGAGGCAAUAACAUACCCUGCAGAAACCACUAUUCAAAGUAGACAGUAUUAUUCAUCACGCCUGCUCCAGCAGAAACAUUUGGCGUGAGAGCGGAAAAACAGAUGGGAAAGAUACGGCAUGCCUGUCUAAUCUGAAUCUAAAGAGAAAAAUAACUUCACUACUUCCAUUGCCAAAGCGGCAAUCCUCAUUUCGUGACUUUGGAAAGAUGGAGAAUAAUUUGUUUAUUGGAAGAACACAAGCAGUACUGAAUAGAAAGUUUUAUGGCAGCCGAGUGAAGACAUACUAGCCUUGAAAACAUACCUGAGAUGAAUGAGGUCACCAGCAAAUACUAUGACAUGUGACAAGUAAGUCAUAUCUGAAUUAGACCACCUGAACAGCCCCCGAACAUGAAGGAAGAACAUCUGAGGGCACGUUCUUGCCACUGUAAUUCACACUGCCUGUAGGGUGCAGGGGUAUCUGUGAAGUUCAACUUUGUGAUGGAUGAGAUGGUGUUUUUGCCCCUUGGCCUCUGAGGGAUUAGGCUGCUCAGGUGUUGUUUUUAAAAGACUUAGAAUUAGCUUACAUUUAAACAUUUAAACUGUCUUUUGACACCACUUUCAGCACCUGUUUUCUGGAGAGAAAAAGGUCUGGGCCCCCUGGAUUGAACCUUGAGUUUACAUUUAAUGUUUCAUUUGAACAAAUGAAUUCAUGCAGCAAUCAUAAGUCAUAUCUGAAAUGUACAUUUGUAACUGUUGUAAUUGUGUGACUCUUUGGCAGGGCUUUGAUUAUUAAUUACUGUAGAUAUAUUCAUGAAGCUUUCGGCGUGUCUCUGAGUGACUCAGUUCCACAGGGAGCAGUAACCAGUCUUUUUAUUCAGCAGUACACACUGAGGCCUCGGUUGCAGCCUCGGGAAGAAAACACUUUUAUGUUAGAUGAAAAGAGAUGUUUGAGAAGCAGACCACCAUAUCUGCAUGAAGCCCACCUGCAUAGGAAUGACAAAAGGGACCACCAAGCUUAAAUGCAUGUUUCCAUGGAAACCAGCUGAAGGCUGACUGCACUGACUUUAAAUGCCUGCAUAGACAUUACAGCCUGAGUCAGUGGACUAGCAGUGCAUGGGCCUUUCCUCUUUAGGCAUUAGCUGUCGGGACAGGAAUUGUACUUUGCACAGAUGGUUCAUCGCUCCUGGGAUGCUGGGAUGACCAAAAAUAUGUCAGGCUCCCUAACCAAAGCCAUAAACUUAGGCUGCAAAACACUUGAGAAAAUAACAUUGUUGCAGGAGCCUCAAACUACAUGUACAUAUUAUGCAUGCUGAAUGGUUUCACAUCAGUUUGCAUUAAGAAACAGUCGAUUGUUCAAUUUGGGUAGGAUUGUGAAAAUGAUGUGACUGUCAAACUGGCAUUCUUUAAUAAGUAAAUAACAGAUAAUUAACAUAUGUAUCUGCAGUGAUACCCAGGUCCUAUGUGAGUUAUGGUGAUGCAUAAUCACUGUAGAAAGGCAAAUUUGGUUUAUCCAGCAUUCUAUUUUACAACCUCAGCAUUCACAAUAGCUGUGAAAGAGCUGACUUCCACAUCCAAAGUACAUGAUAUAUUUCAAAUAUUGGUAUGUACAGAUGUACAAAGUUCUCUCAAGGUGAGGGUAACAAUGAUAUUUUUGAGCAACACGUUAUUUUUUUAUUUUUUAUUCAGUGCGUUUUGUCUAGCAGUGCUUUAAUG